Sarcophilus harrisii (Tasmanian devil) is the source of this 503-nucleotide long non-coding RNA. RefSeq lists it as uncharacterized. The transcript is spliced from 4 exons. The record is from RefSeq and is a predicted model, not a curated record. Lineage: Eukaryota; Metazoa; Chordata; Mammalia; Dasyuromorphia; Dasyuridae.
GAAGUGACGACACGAUCGCAUUGUUAAAUAAGACGCGCGAGAGGCGUUCUCUCUCUUCUUCUUAGCGCCAUCUUGUCGACUCCCAUUGCGCCAUGAGAGCCAAGUGGAGGAAGAAGCGAAUGCGUAGGCUGAAACGCAAGAGGAGAAAGAUGAGGCAGAGGUCCAAGUAAACAGAUUGUGCUGACCACAGGCCACAAAAGCAGGGAUGAAAUGACCCUUGGUGACACUGUCGGGAAGGCGGAGAGCUCCGGGCAACACGACCCACCCCUCGGAAGAACUGCUGGCGAUACCAUCUGAUAAAGGGUUCUCACCACCGUUUGACGCCUGCCUGACGAGCGCAUGCCAUCUUCCAAUGCCUGUUCCAUCUUUUGCACAGAUUCCAUCUGCCUGCCUCCCGAUUUCUGUGCCAUGGGACUCUUGUCAUUCUGGACUGAUUUGUCUGUGGCUCAGUGUUAGCACAUCUGUAUAAUAAAUCCUCGCUACUUUCUUGUUCGGAAAAAAAA